Molecule: long non-coding RNA, 2308 nt
Filed under: Solanum lycopersicum (tomato)
Lineage: Eukaryota; Viridiplantae; Streptophyta; Magnoliopsida; Solanales; Solanaceae
Description: long non-coding RNA (SLYC_LNC000158)
Source: RNAcentral
GUGACGAAAAAUUGAAACCGAAAAUCUAACAAUAAAGAACACCAAGUUUAACAUGGAAAAACCCUUCAAUCCGAAGGUAACCAGCACGGGAUCAACAAGAUCCGAAUUGCUUCACUAUAACAAUAACAGAGUUACAAAUAUUCUUAUAAUAGAUACACAACAAGUGCCAAAAGAGAAUAAACAAUAGCUACACCAAAAAAAAGAUAAAUAGAAAGAAACACCACACAAACUCAGCUUCUGUUUGGGACCUAAAACAUGAUCUUUCUGACCUCCAAAUCUGAUCUCCAUCGUUCAAAUUAACCGCCAAGAUGUCAAAAACACUCAGUUCAAAUUUAAGCCCGAUCCAACGGUUCGUUAAUCAGUAAAUACGAUCUGAACAUUGCUGGUCGGAGAAAAAUACUGCAGCAAAAGGACCCUUUUCUUUCUCUCUUUUUCUCUUGUUGAAAGCUCUCUCAAAAACCUCUCUUAUGUUCUAAUGUCUUUCAAAGACAAUACCAAUGAGCAAUUAAUUAUUCUCUCAAAACCAUCCUCUAUUUAUAGAGUUGUGCUUUUCCUUACAAAGCCAAAACCAAGUACAAAUAGGAUUACUAUUUCAAUCCUUCCUAAUAGAAUUGGAAACCAAAUAAAGAGAAUAAUUCCAAUCCUUUUCCAAGUAGGAAUAGGCCAUGGGCCUUUAACAGGAACAUGGGCAAUAGCCCAACAAACUCCCCCUCUAGCCAAGGGGCCAAAAAGACUUCAAGUGGAGGAUCUCUUGACAGGCUUCCUGUCUGCCACACUUCUACAAAACUCAUGAUUGUCUACGAUGAGUUCUUUCCACUUAUCUCUAUGAGUAUCUAACAUGAUUUAAUCAUAACCUUCAGGUUCUCUCAUAUUAGUCAAUAGAAUAUACUCAUCAUGAGAAUAACGUGUUGAGCUUCGCUUCUCUCUAGUAGAUCUUCUACAAGAGGUUUCUGGAUCAAAGUGAACUGUAUGGUGAAAAUUGUGACAAAAACAGACAGAAAUUUGAUUCAUCCGUUGGUUCUUUAAUUCGGGCCAAGGAUCGAAUUUUGGAUCCAAUUAAGAAAAAAAGGAAAGGAAAAUGGAUAUUCAAGAAUGAAGCCAAAAGGUGAGGAAAAAAAAGAAGAAAAACACAUCACAGAUGACAUUCAAAAGCAAAACAGGACAAAAACAUGAAAAACAAUAAAUUUUGACAUGCAAUCAGUCUCAAUGCAACAAAUACAACAUAAAUCUAUGGGAUUAAGUUUUGAGGUUUGUUCUCUCUUUAAUUAGUUAAAUAAUUCUUUCAUUGUUUAUUAUUAUAUUCAUGCAUAUACCAAUCUUGAUAUUUUUUUUUCUAUAUCAAAUAUGCAGUUACAUGGAGGUUCAUCAAGCAUUUUCCCUCAAUUUUUGACUCAAAAUCUGAAUUCACAAUUUGGAGCUUGCAUGCAGAGUCAACUAUUAAACAAAGAGAUAUUUGAAGAAAAUUCAAUUUGAUAUUUGGUGAAGAUCUUAAUUUUUGAUAUUUGAAGCAUAAAAAUCAAUGCAACAAAUAUUUUUUUGUAUUUUGAAUUACAAGUAACAUGCAAGUAAGAAGAUCCAUAGAGAUCUAUUGUCAAAUAUAAUAUAUAUGCAACCUUUAAUUUAGUUGUGUUGAUAGUAUUAAAGAGUUCAAGAAAUAUGAAGAAAAAUUCUUACCUGAAAAACGUAUAUAGGUACUUCUGAUUUUUUUUCUCCUUAGAAAAUUUGAAUGUAGAUAAUUCUUCAUAUUUUUUUUGUCCUUUGAAGAAGAGAAAAGAAUCUUGUUCACCUUUAUUUUUUUCAGCCCUUUUGAAGAAGUCAAAAGAAACCCAAACGCUUCUUCAUCUUCUCUUUCUUAGAUUCAAGUGAAUAUUUAAGUUAACAUUUAAUAUUGUAGGGCCCUAUUUACUUUUGAUGUUUUGCCAGCUCCUUUCUAGAAGAGAAAAUAAAUACAAGAACGUUUUUCAUCUUCUCUCUCUUAGAUAUAAGUGCAUAUUUAUUGCUUACUUUUUAUUUUAAUCCAGCUCCUUUGUAAAAGAGAAAAUAAAUUCAAGAACCUUUUUCAUCUUCUCUCUCUUUAAUAUAAGUGCAUAUUUAAUGUUGUCAACCCCACAAUUUACUUUUUUAUUUUUUUCAACUUUUAUAUUAAGAAAGGUCCCACAAAUCAUGUGUCAAAAAAUGGGUGGAGCCUCAUCCAACUUUGGUUGGUUGGACCUCUACCACCAUAAAAAUCUUUCAUAUAUACCUGAUUAGGGUUUUGGAUAUAAGUAGCAAUUUAACAAAUUGGAGACAGAAAAUUUGAAGAAUUACU